CAAACAGUCUCUCUCUCUCUCUCUCGAAAUGAGAUUCCAUUCGACUUGCAAAACCUCGAAACAGUGCCACCACAUCUGAAGACGACGACGAAGAAGAUCAAAUCGGAUUUUGCUCUCUCUCUCUCUCUCUCCCCGACGAGCUCGUUCGCUUCUCGCCGCCGAAUAACCUCUCUGACGUCGGAAACUCUCCCUUGGCGACAAGUGACUAUUGUGCAGUGAAGCUCAGCACUGGCUAGACGAUGUCGACUGAGAGAGAAGCCUUGUUGCAGAUUGGAGCGAAAUGAGACGGCAUCGUUUCACCAUCUCCUCAUCUUUCUUCCGCGUUUUCUCCGAUCUCGACGCCAAUUCAAAGCAGAUCUGAUCGGAGCGAAACAAGACGGCAUCGUUUCACCAUCUCCUCAUCUUUCUUCAGCGUUUUCUCAGAUCUCGACGCCGAUUCAAAGCAGAUCUGACAGGACCUUUACCAUUGUUCAAUCAAUACAUGUAGCUGGCCAAAAUUCACCCCUGCAGGAUUUGUGCAUGGACUUGUUCGGCGGCUGUGGAAGUUAGUAUGACUGUUAUGACUAUAAUUCUUCCCAUUUGCAUUUGCAGUAUAGCAUAUUCCAAAAAUCAUGUGAAUUUGGGUAGUGAAGCCUCCAUUGAACAAGAUAUCAUGUGGCAUUGUGGCCAACCAAAAAAUGUUGAAAUGUAGUCCGAUGCUAAAGGUGGCAAAAUAAUGCCUAUGGCCGGUUAGUGUAGUGUGGUAGAGCGUGACAAAAAGAAACAUCAACGGUGGUCAUCUUAAAAAUGACAGUAGCAUUACAACAUUGACAGCAGCUUUAUACAACUAUUGUAUUAGAUUUUCACAACUAUGGUAGUGACUUUUUACAA
This is a long non-coding RNA of Rosa rugosa (rugosa rose), 870 nucleotides long. RefSeq lists it as uncharacterized. The transcript has 3 exons. The record is from RefSeq and is a predicted model, not a curated record. Lineage: Eukaryota; Viridiplantae; Streptophyta; Magnoliopsida; Rosales; Rosaceae.